Molecule: regulatory RNA element, 132 nt
Organism: Bacillus sp. FJAT-27916
Lineage: Bacteria; Bacillati; Bacillota; Bacilli; Caryophanales; Bacillaceae
Rfam family: Ribosomal protein L20 leader
About the family: This family is a putative r-protein leader autoregulatory structure found in B. subtilis and other low-GC Gram-positive bacteria. It is located in the 5' untranslated regions of mRNAs encoding initiation factor 3 followed by ribosomal proteins L35 and L20 (infC-rpmI-rplT).
Source: Rfam
UUUUGAAAGAAGAAGCACCCGCUUCUCACCUGUAUGGCACUCAUGAUGAGCAGCUGACCGGUUACGAUUAGUUAAUCUGACAGUAUGUCUUAUUAUGGGCGGGUGUGUGUACACCGGUCUUUUUUAUUGCCU